This 1263-nucleotide long non-coding RNA is filed under the name Macaca fascicularis (crab-eating macaque). RNAcentral's name for it is "lncRNA (ENSMFAG00000056602.1)". Lineage: Eukaryota; Metazoa; Chordata; Mammalia; Primates; Cercopithecidae. The record is from RNAcentral.
UUUUUUUUUCUUUUUUGCUACUGCAAACAGUGCUAUAAUAAAUACCCUUAUCAAAAAUGUCCAGUGUACAUGUGUGGAGAUAUAUAUACACACAUAUGUGAUAGAUACGUAACUUGUAACCAUGACAUGCUGGGUGAAAGAAUAUGUGCAUUUUAAGUAUUCCUAGAUAAUACCAAGUAGCCUGCCAAACCAAACCCUAUUUUUCUAGUUAUUUUCACCUGCAGCUUCAGAAAUAUGCACAGAAAAUUAUGAGUCUUCAGUCAGUCCUUUUAGACAUCCAUAUAUUUAUACUCAUUUUCCACAGGUCCCCCUCAGACACAUAAACACUCACUCUGUUAGCUCCCACUCUACUGCACACCUGGAAGCCCUGCUCCCUGAAACUGACUCUGGGGCCCUAGAACUGACUCUGGGGCCCUGGCAGAUCUUUGGUGUAAUGAGUCAUGGGCCUCGAUCUGUGGUUUUGGAGUCUGAGGAUGUAGAAUGGGGACAGGAGAGAAGCUGGUAGAUAUACACAUGAAGAUGUGGCCAGGCCCCUGGGCCAGCCAUGGACCCUCCCCACCCCACUUCCAUGAUAUAAACUACACCCAGCAGUUCCCUGGGGGAUGGGGAGGGAAGAUGAGGGGUGGAGUUGGCAAGAGGGUUUCUUAGAAGCUGAUAUAACAGGGCUGAGCAGACAGAGCCCAGCACAGCCUUGGCAGGGCUCCCAGGGACAGAUGCUGGAGAAUUGACCUCAGGCCUAGAUGUACAGAAAGAAAUGCCUGCCUGUCCUGGGCCUCACCCACCCAUGCUGCUUUCUUCCUAGUGUUCCAGAAACCACAUUCCUAGCUAUCUACUCCUCCCCAGUCCUGUGGCUCCUCCUGCUAGGCUAUACUCCAGAAGGCAGGAAAGCUGCCUCCUCAGCAGCAUGAGGGCUGCAGCCGCCAACAUGCCUGCUGGUCAGGCCCAGUUCCCUCACCCAGCCCCGGGCCUGCGCACAGGUGCUGGAGGCUACAUAUGGAAUAGGACAGCCCAGGAAGCAAACAGUGUAAGUUGUAAGUUUCUUUUUACUGUUAGAAACCUCUUGAUUAGGCAGCAAGGUACACUGAACCUGCUUCUCAGUAUUUUGAACAUAUUUUGGCCAGUAACAAGGGCAAAGUAGCUCCUCUAAAUGGCACACAUUUGCUUCCUUGACUCUAGGCUCAAUGGGGGACUUCCCCCUGUUCUGCGGGGCAUCCCUUUGGCAAGGCCCACCCACACUCAGUAUCUCCAGUGUGGCUCAGGACC